CCACCAGGGCUGCCCAUCGCUAACACAUUUUAAAUUGCCUUCUUUUUCAAUCAAAAAUAAAAGAUGCUAGAACUCGAAGAACCAUAUGUGGACCUAAAGGAAAGAUCUGAGCAUCUCCUGAGAAUCCUAGACAUUGAAAUUGACGUGACAACUGUAUAAAAUUUUGGGUUUUCCUUCUUCAGGAGUAUGUGAAAGGGAAAACUGAAAAGAUUAAGAGGCUUUUGGAGACCCAAAAGAAUGACUCUUCAAUAGUGGAAUUCCAGGCAUCAAGAGGCAACCAUUCUACAUUCUAACUUUCUAUACCUGCUAUUCUGAAGGCUGAAUUCCAUCUAUCAAAUUAUUUUACAAAGCCAUAUGGCUCAUUCCUGGAAAGUCAUUUGAUUUGGUUCAGAACUCAAGUCUUUUUUUUCUUUUUUAAAUGUCAAUACAGGCCAACAGGCUUUGAACAUGUGCAAACAUUAUUGCAAACAGAUUAAUCUUUUCUAGAAAAGGAUCUAGUCUUGCACAAAGGAACAACUACUUUAAACAACUAGAAGGUUAUCACCAUGCUCCUGAGAUUACUUCCCAAGUAAACUCAUGAAUCUGCUCCAAGAUGUGUUUUGGGGAGACACAAGAUAGUGCCUCACAGAUUCGUUAGGAGGAACAAAUGAGAGAAUGCGCUGAACACCAUGUGUGUCUUAGAGUAAAUGCCCAGUAAUGCCAACUACCAUCACCCUCAUCCUCAUCCUCAUCCUCAUCAUGAUCAUCAUCAUUGUCACCAAGCUCUUGCAAGAGAGCUGAGAUGACCUUUUUAGAAGUUCUGAGAGAGGUGACAUUGACUUAUCAGGAUUCCUUGUUGCUCCUCUUUCCUCACACGCUGACUCAAUAUAACACUUAAAAAGUCUAUGAGCAAGGAGCAAAGUAUUGAUGAUAUUAAUAGCUCUCAGUUAUGGAGUGCCCACUCUGCAAAUAGGUGAAGGAAUAGGUUCCAAGAGAGAAAAGGGCUUGCCCAUGACUGCACAACCUGAACAAGAUGGAACCUGGAUCAGAACCCAGAUCUGGCUGACAAGAGGCCCUUUCUGCUAGACCACAGUUUUCUCAUCAUCACUAACAUUUCUCUAGAUGAGACAAUAUAGUUGGGGAAUUUACACUUUCAAGGGGAACAAAACAUUGCUCACAGGAACUGAAAAGAAGACUAUCACUCAGCCCAAACAAGCAAUGUUUGCAAGAAAUCUAACCCUGAGACAAUAAUUUUAAGGAACAAGAAGACAUGAGUCACAGUCCAAAAUAGCAAGAAUAAAAUAUUCCUAUUUCUGCUUAUGCCAAACUGAUGCAGCAACUAGUUUCACUGUAGCAGAUGUGGGAGGGUGAAGUCCCACUGUAAGUUGAGAGGUUUGGAGAAAAAUGGACCAUCCUAGACAUAAUAAAAUGACUGUUUUCUAAUGAGUGCCUAAAAGGCAGAGAUGUGUCUGUCUAGUUGAUGAAUUCUUAUAUUCUACCAUUAGAAAAAUUAAUCAGGGAAGCCCAGGUGGCUCAGCGGUUUAGCACCACCUUCAGCCCAGGGUGUGAUCCUG
Molecule: long non-coding RNA, 1553 nt
Organism: Canis lupus familiaris (dog)
Lineage: Eukaryota; Metazoa; Chordata; Mammalia; Carnivora; Canidae
Exons: 5
Source: RefSeq, a predicted model, not a curated record